GCACGUAGUUAGCCGAGACUUAUUCCUGAGAUACUGUCCUUUCUCAUCUCUCAGAAAAGUGCUUUACGACCCGAAGGCCUUCAUCGCACACGCGGCGUUGCUGCAUCAGGCUUUCGCCCAUUGUGCAAUAUUCCCUACUGCUGCCACCCGUAGGUGUAUGGACCGUGUUUCAGUUCCAUUGUGGGGGGUCACCCUCUCAGGUCCCCUACCCGUCGUAGCCUUGGUGAGCCGUCACCUCACCAACUAGCUGAUGGGACGCAGGUCCCUCCCAAAGCGAAUUGCUCCUUUAGUUAUCAGUUUCUAAGCCCGAUAACCACAUGCGGUAUUAGCAAUCCUUUCGGACUGUUAUUCCACACUUCGGGGUAGGUCACCAACGCGUUACUCACCCGUUCGCCACUAGGAUACUCUCGUAUUGCUACAAAAGCACCUCGUUCGACUUGCAUGUAUUAGGCACGCCGCCAGCGUUCAUC
RNAcentral lists this ribosomal RNA (470 nucleotides) under uncultured bacterium. Its description in RNAcentral is "partial 16S rRNA". The record is from RNAcentral.